CGUUAAGAGGUCACCUCUGUCGUUACCUGCUUUAUGCAGAUACGAGAAUGUGGCUGUCAA
Molecule: non-coding RNA, 60 nt
Filed under: unclassified sequences
Description: Transposase-1 RNA
Rfam family: Transposase-1 RNA
About the family: Lactobacillales (Firmicutes). Environment (Human Microbiome Project, vagina)
Source: Rfam by way of RNAcentral